UACGGAGGAUGCGAGCGUUAUCCGGAUUUAUUGGGUUUAAAGGGUGCGUAGGCGGGAUGCCAAGUCAGCGGUAAUAAUGCGGUGCUCAACGCCGUCGAGCCGUUGAAACUGGCGUUCUUGAGUGGGCGAGAAGUAUGCGGAAUGCGUGGUGUAGCGGUGAAAUGCAUAGAUAUCACGCAGAACUCCGAUUGCGAAGGCAGCAUACCGGCGCCCUACUGACGCUGAGGCACGAAAGCGUGGGUAUCGAACAGG
Molecule: ribosomal RNA, 252 nt
Filed under: uncultured bacterium
Lineage: Bacteria
Description: partial 16S ribosomal RNA
Rfam family: Bacterial small subunit ribosomal RNA
Source: RNAcentral